GUUCUAAACGCCAUCCUCUAUCACCCGUCUGUCAUUUGAUCAUUCCCCACUAUCAUUCUCGUCCUCUGAAAAACCCUUCUCUCUUCCGCAUUUUUCCACUUCGCUUUCCCAAUACAGGUACUUCCUUCACUAUGAGCUUAACCUCUCUCAGGCUCGCAUCAAACCCCAUCACUUCCCCAAAGUGGGCCCACCGUCGGCUUCUCCCUCCUCGGAACGUCGUAGUAUGCUCCGUUAAAACUCCUCCCUCCUCGCCGUCGUUGAGUGUCGCCGAGUCUGCCACCAGCGACUCCCUAAGUCGUAUUGAAUCUCUCAGUCAAGUUUCCGGCGUUUUAGGUUGUCAGUGGGGCGAUGAAGGUAAAGGCAAACUCGUCGACAUCUUGGCUCAGCAUUUCGACGUCGUCGCUCGUUGCCAGGGUGGAGCCAAUGCUGGUCAUACCAUCUACAGUUCAGAGGGAAAGAAAUUUGCCCUUCACCUUGUUCCUUCGGGUAUUCUUAAUGAGGAUACUCUCUGCGUUAUUGGCAAUGGAGUUGUGGUGCAUCUUCCAGGUUUGUUUAAGGAGAUUGAUGGCCUGGAAUCUAAUGGUGUCUCGUGCGAGGGAAGGAUAUUGGUGUCGGACCGUGCUCAUCUGUUAUUUGAUUUCCAUCUAGAAGUAGAUGGGCGUAGAGAAGCUGAGCUUGCUAAAUCAUUUAUUGGCACUACUAGAAGAGGGAUCGGACCUUGUUACUCGAGCAAGGUGAUCCGCAAUGGCAUUAGAGUAAGUGACUUGAGGCACAUGGAUACUUUUCCUCAGAAGCUUGAUGUUUUAUUAUCAGAUGCAGCUUCAAGGUUCCAAGGUUUUAACUAUGGCCCAGAAAUGCUCAGGGAUGAAGUUGAGAGAUACAAGAGAUUCGCAGAGAGGUUGGAACCUUUCAUUGCAGAUACUGUGCAUGUUAUGAAUGAAUCCAUUGCACAGAAGAAGAAGAUUUUGGUUGAAGGUGGUCAAGCAACUAUGCUGGACAUUGACUUUGGAACUUAUCCCUUUGUGACUUCAUCUAGCCCGUCAGCUGGCGGGAUCUGCACUGGUCUUGGUAUUGCUCCAAGAGUCAUUGGUGAUCUCAUUGGAGUGGUGAAAGCAUACACUUCAAGGGUUGGUUCUGGUCCUUUCCCUACUGAGAUCUUGGGUCAUGGGGGUGACCUACUUAGGUUUGCUGGGCAGGAGUUUGGAACCACAACGGGCCGUCCUCGACGUUGUGGUUGGCUUGAUAUAGUUGCACUGAAGUACUGCUGUCAGAUUAAUGGCUUUUCUUCUUUGAAUCUCACCAAACUUGAUGUUUUAUCUGAUCUUCCUGAAAUUCAGUUGGGAGUUGCUUAUAAACAAAUGGAUGGUACUCCUAUUAAAUCAUUCCCAGCUGAUCUUCGUCUGCUUGAACAAUUGAAGGUUGAAUAUGAGGUUUUACCUGGAUGGAAGAGUGAUAUUUCUUCCAUUAGAAACUACUCAGAGCUUCCGAAGGCUGCACGUCAAUAUGUGGAGAGGAUAGAAGAACUCAUUGGUGUACCCGUCCAUUACAUUGGUGUUGGGCCUGGACGUGACGCUCUAAUAUUCAAGUAAUUUGACUGUUAUUUAUUUAGACAGCUCGGAUGCUAUGCUCGUGUGGUUGAGAAAAUUCUCAUUGUGCUGCAGCCUUUUAACCCCUUUAUGUCUGGGCAUAUUUUUGAACCAGAAUAAAAGUAUUUGUCAGGCCAAAUGAAUUUGAUGUACCUAUUCUGCCCUUUACAUCUGAUGUUUACUUUCAAUUGAAUGUCUAAUUAUAUUAAACCAUUAGAGAUGCAAGUUGAGUUACCGUUUGUUAAAAUGCUUGAUAAGCUUACACUAGUUUUUGCAGUUGUAAAUACCAAGGUAGGUUUUGGUUGCAAACUUCAAAUGCGCGGUUUGUCCUCAUGCCUAAACUUUCCAGGAAAUUUGACUCACUGAGGAAUCUUUUCUUAUGCAAAUACCUAUCAUGGUUUGACGACCACCUUCACCAAAAUUAUCAACAGCACAAUCUCUCUCAACCAUACCUCUUGGGCAUUUCUGUGCCCAGUAAAAACAUUGGAAUCUUUAAGUUAAAGCUGUAACUUGUCAGGGACGGGUCUGAUAGACCUCUCAAGAGGAAGAGAAGAAGAAGAUGAUUCAAGAAGAGAGAGACAGGGAGAGAGAUUGAGAGGAAAUUUGUUGUAUUAUUUGAUCAACGAAUGCUACAAAACAAUGCCUUUUUAUCUUAGUAAUUACAAUUACAUUUCUCGCCAUUCAUUGUCACCUCCUCCCAUCUAACUAAUUAACUGAUACACAACUGAUCAGCCAACUAAUUAACUUUAAUAGUGAAGCCCGGGCUCUUGAAUCAUAGCCACAAAUGAUAUGUUUCAAAAUCCGAGUGUUGUUCAACUAGAAAACACUCCAUUACUAAAAAAUGAUUCAUCAUCGCCAAUGGAGAGCUAUUAAGAAUGCCAUCUCUGUCAGCCUAU
Molecule: unclassified non-coding RNA, 2482 nt
Filed under: Hevea brasiliensis (rubber tree)
Lineage: Eukaryota; Viridiplantae; Streptophyta; Magnoliopsida; Malpighiales; Euphorbiaceae
Source: RNAcentral